RNAcentral lists this ribosomal RNA (334 nucleotides) under Orthetrum glaucum. RNAcentral's name for it is "partial 16S ribosomal RNA". Lineage: Eukaryota; Metazoa; Arthropoda; Insecta; Odonata; Libellulidae. The record is from RNAcentral.
UUGACUGUACAAAGGUAGCAUAAUCAUUAGUCUUUUAAUAGAGGGCUGGAAUGAAAGGUUUAACGAGGAACUGACUGUCUCAUUUUAUUUGUUUUAAAAUUUAAUUUUUUAGUUAAAAAGCUAAAAUUUUAUUGGUAGACGAGAAGACCCUAUAGAGCUUUACAUUUAAUUAAUUAAAUAUUUUUAUAUUAAUAUUUUUAUUUGAUUUUAUGUUUUGUUGGGGUGACAAAAAUAUACAUAUAACUUUUUUAUAUUAUUUACAUUGAUUUAUGAAUAUUAGAUCCAUUAUUAUUGAUUAUUAGAUUAAGUUACCUUAGGGAUAACAGCGUAAUAU